RNAcentral lists this ribosomal RNA (253 nucleotides) under uncultured bacterium. RNAcentral describes it as "partial 16S ribosomal RNA". It matches the Rfam family "Bacterial small subunit ribosomal RNA", at positions 524 to 776 of the family's 1533-position model. The record is from RNAcentral.
UACGGAGGGUGCGAGCGUUGUCCGGAAUCACUGGGCGUAAAGGGCGCGUAGGUGGCUGGGGAAGUCGGCGGUGAAAGCCCGGAGCUCAACUCCGGGUCGGCCGUCGAGACUCCUCGGCUCGAGCUCACUAGAGGCAGAUGGAAUUCCGGGUGUAGCGGUGGAAUGCGUAGAGAUCCGGAAGAACACCGGUGGCGAAGGCGGUCUGCUGGGGUGAGGCUGACACUGAGGCGCGACAGCGUGGGGAGCAAACAGG